This 1098-nucleotide long non-coding RNA is filed under the name Panax ginseng (ginseng). RNAcentral's name for it is "long non-coding RNA (PGIN_LNC016850)". The record is from RNAcentral. Lineage: Eukaryota; Viridiplantae; Streptophyta; Magnoliopsida; Apiales; Araliaceae.
GUCGGGAUGUCCUUUUUAAAGAAAGUAUGAAAUGCUCAAGGUCUUGGACCGGAAUUAAUGUUUUACUGAAUAUUGUUCAUUAUAAAACGUUUUAAAGAAAAGAGAAAUGCUAUUUUGAAUUAUCGAUAGUACUUCAUAACUAUUGUUCAGUUAUUGAAGAUGUAUGAUUUGUAUGAUUCAAGCAUAUUGUUAAAUGGAAUUAUUGUACUUGCUAAGCUAGUUAUGCUCAUUCUUGCUUGAACCAUAUGAAUGCAGCUAAGACCGAACGGACCGAAGGAUCCGACACGGAUAAAGGCAAGGCUAAGGCGCACCCGUAGAAUACCUUUGUAAUAGUAUAUGUUUGUAAUGAUAAUAUUUGAUAUUAUGACAAGAACAAAUGUAACGGUUAUAAAAAACUUGGGGAAUGGUAAUAAUGAUUUGCAAUAUAUAUAAGACAUUUAUUUUUUUGAGGCAUUUCGAUUGAAUGUUUGUGUGAACUAUAGCACCGUAGAGCACUAUCUAUCGAGUUAGAAGAUACCCAAAUUUGGAGGCGUCACAGUAUUUAAAUAGCUUUUAGUUGAUUUAUUUUCUGUGCUCAUAAGUUAACUAGCCACCAUACCACAGUAGAAUAGUCCAUAAAGUAUUGAAAGGGGUGUUCUUAAAAUAAUGCAUGUUAAGAAUCAUCUCUAAAUAAGGGCUUAUAUGUAACGGAAAGUGUUAAAAGUUACUAUAACCACCUAAAAUUUUACAGUCUCAUGAAAAUGAAAUAACUUAAGUUUCCAUAACCUAAAAUUUUACAAUCUCAUGAAAAUGAAAUAACCUACUUGUUUAAUUAUGCAUAGGGUAUUAUUCAGUUGUAAUUUAUAAAUACAAUUAGAAUGAGAACAAAGAAUACAAAACAAUUUAUUUAUUUUUUAAAAACCAAUUCAUCAAAAAUUGGCCUUGAAAAACAAUAAUUUACAAACCAUACCACCUAAAAAUUGUUCAAACAAGACUACUCAACAAAAAAAUAGGUGACCAAAUUAUGCAUAAAAACGUGCAAAAGCAAACACUGCCAAGCUGUCCUCUGUUUUCUAAUUAGUAAUCAGCAACUGUGCAAUCCAAGAACACUUGCUCNNN